This is a long non-coding RNA of Macadamia integrifolia, 753 nucleotides long. RefSeq lists it as uncharacterized. The transcript has 2 exons. Lineage: Eukaryota; Viridiplantae; Streptophyta; Magnoliopsida; Proteales; Proteaceae. The record is from RefSeq and is a predicted model, not a curated record.
GGUGAAGGUUCUCUGUCUCCGAUCGAUGGUGAAGGUUCCCUGUCUCCGAUCGAUUCACGAUGGCGAGGUAAGCAAACAUUAAACCGAAAUUGAAGAAGGUGAACACCGAUAACCCCUGCAAAUCAGCCUCAACAACCAUUCCUGGUGAAGAAGCUUUGUCUCCGAUCGAUUCACGCCGGCAAACCCAGAUACGAUGUCUACUUGCAGUGUAACUUUCAUGAACCAAGUCGAUGGUCUGAGGUAUGUUAACGUUAUAUGCAAAUGUCACAGAAGAGCUGCAGUCAAGGUAUCGGAGUCCAGAGAAAACCCCAAUAGACUUUACUACACAUGUUCAGAGAUUGUACAGGAGAAUAAAUGUGGUUUUUUUUUGCUUGGUGUGAGCUAGUGAAUGUGACAGCAGUCAGAAGUGAACCUUCAAACAACCCAAGCCCUCAUGAUACAUCAAACAACCCAAGCACUCAUGAGUUUCAACAGUUGAAGUAUGAGAUACAUAGUAUGAAAAUAAGAUUGAAGCAGGUGGAGAGAUUCAAUGAAAGCUUGAAGCUGCUUGGACAAGUUGUUUAAUGUUUUGUGGUUGUUUUAUUGGUUGUAAUGGUUGUAAAAGUUUAGAUGUCUUUGUUAAGAUGUUUCUUUAGGAUUUUGAUAUCAAUGUACCUAAUCCAGAACUCUUUGAUGUUUGGUAUGGUUGGGCUGGUUGAAGGAAUAUGUAAUUGAAACCACUAUGGUAAUUAGAAUGUGAUCUUAUUUCUACCA